CACUGUGGAAGCUUUGUUCUUUCGCUCUUUGUAAUGAAUCUUGCUACUGCUUACUUUUUGGGUCCACACUGCUUUUAUGAGCUGUAUCACUCACCGCGAAGGUCUGCAGCUUCACUCCUGAGCCAGCGAGCCCACGAGCCCACCGGGAGGAACAAACAACUCCAGACGUGCUGCCUUAAGAGCUGUGACACUCACCGCAAAGGUGUGCAGCUUCACUCCUGAACCAGGGAGACCACGAACCCACCAGAAGGAAGAAACUCCGAACACAUCCGAACAUCAGAAGGAAAAAACUCCAGACGCGCCACCUUAAGAGCUGUAACACUCACCGCGAGGGUCCGCGGCUUCAUUCUUGAAGUCAGUGAGACCAAGAACCCACCAAUUCCGGAAACAGUUGUUGUCACAGCCCGGCCUGCCCCAACCUGCCUCAUAGGAAGCAUCGGAGACACUCCACCAGCUUCCCCCAUGGCUUCCUAUUCCUGGGGCCAAGGCAACGUCUGGUACAGAGCUGAGGCAGGGAAGAGAUAUCCUUGGAGCCAACAUACAUGUGUUUAGCCUGGAUCCUCUGUGCCUGAGCAACUCAGGCUUCUUCCACGUGGCAGGGGCAGGGUGAGGCCACAGACAGCUCCAGCUCACAUCAACCCAGCUAAUGGCUUCACAGGAAAGAGGGAAGCAAAAUCCCAGAGAAGUCUGAUUGGCCCGGCCUGGAUCUCAUGGCUGUGGGCAGUGGAAAAGCUGAGGGAACUGGAGAACAGCUGUUGUCCUCUCCCUGCGCACAUCUGUUCUGCCUCAUGCCAAAGGGAGACAAUGGCUAAAGGGGGCCCGUAUUGGUCACGCCCUGCAGAGAAACAGAACACACAGGUUGUGUAUGCAUGUAUAGCUAGGUAGGGAGACAGAGAGUGGGGAGAGAGAGAGGUUCGAGAAAUUGGCUCAUGUGAUUACAGAGGCUGGCAAGUCCAAAAUUUGCAGGGUGGGUGAUACGGUUUGGCUGUGUCCCCCCCCACCCAAAUCUCAUCUUGAAUUGUAGCUCCUAUAAUUCCCACGUGUCAUGGGAGGGACCCCAUGGGAGGUAAUUGACUCAUGGGGCUAAGUCUUUCCCAUGCUGUUCUCAUGAUAGUGAAUAAGUCUCAGGAGAUCUGAUGGUUUUAUAAAAGGGAGUUCCCUGCCCAAGCUCCCUCUUGCCUGCUGCCAUGGAAGACGCGCCUUUUCUCCUUUGCCUUCCACCGUGAUUGUGAGGCCUCCCCAGCCUCGUGGAACUGUCAGUCCAUUAAACCUCUUUUUCUUUAUAAA
Molecule: long non-coding RNA, 1287 nt
Filed under: Pan troglodytes (chimpanzee)
Lineage: Eukaryota; Metazoa; Chordata; Mammalia; Primates; Hominidae
Description: lincRNA
Source: RNAcentral